RNAcentral lists this ribosomal RNA (551 nucleotides) under Wickerhamiella kazuoi. RNAcentral describes it as "eukaryotic LSU rRNA". It matches the Rfam family "Eukaryotic large subunit ribosomal RNA", at positions 62 to 647 of the family's 3401-position model. Lineage: Eukaryota; Fungi; Ascomycota; Dipodascomycetes; Dipodascales; Trichomonascaceae. The record is from RNAcentral.
AAACCAACAGGGAUUGCCUUAGUAGCGGCGAGUGAAGAGGCAAAAGCUCAAAUUUGAAAUCUGCCAACAGGCCGAGUUGUAAUUUGAAGAUGGCAUUCAGGAACUGCCUGCGCUAAAGUCUCUUGGAAUAGAGCAUCAUGGAGGGUGAGAAUCCCGUGAGGCGNGGAUCACAGUUCUGUGUUGAUUGCUUUCGACGAGUCGAGUUGUUUGGGAAUGCAGCUCCAAGUGGGUGGUAAAUUCCAUCUAAAGCUAAAUAUUGGCGGGAGACCGAUAGCGAAGAAGUACUGUGAAGGAAAGAUGAAAAGAACUUUGAAAAGAGAGUGAAAAAGUACGUGAAAUUGUUGAAAUGGAAGGGCUUGAAAUUAGACAUGGNGUUCGUGUUCCACUGCCUUUUGGNUGUGUACUCGCGUUCGCUGGGCCAGCAUCAGUUUGGAGAGUUGGAAAAACGGUUAGGAAUGUGGCAAUCNUCGGGUUGUGUUAUAGCCUANUCAAAUACAGCUACUCUAGACUGAGGACCGCUUAUAGGAUGCUGGCGUAAUGAUUUCAAGCCA